Molecule: ribosomal RNA, 253 nt
Filed under: uncultured bacterium
Lineage: Bacteria
Description: partial 16S ribosomal RNA
Rfam family: Bacterial small subunit ribosomal RNA
Source: RNAcentral
UACGAAGGGGGCUAGCGUUGCUCGGAAUCACUGGGCGUAAAGCGCACGUAGGCGGCUCUUUAAGUCAGGGGUGAAAUCCCAAGGCUCAGCCUUGGAACUGCCUUUGAUACUGGGGAUCUCGAGUCCGGAAGAGGUGAGUGGAACUGCGAGUGUAGAGGUGAAAUUCGUAGAUAUUCGCAAGAACACCAGUGGCGAAGGCGGCUCACUGGUCCGGUACUGACGCUGAGGGGCGAAAGCGUGGGGAGCAAACAGG